GCAGCAGUUUCCCUUCAAAGAACGGGUCAAAUUCAUGGAAGCCACGUGCCUGCUGCUUCUGGCCUACACAAAUAUGCAGCCACCAUAGUAAAGUUCUUGCAAAGACAUUCUACUCAAACUUGCCCAAAGGCGGAAGGAAGGCACGCACAGAUGGACGCACAGAAAUCAUGGGGCUGCCGUAGAAGCUGUGAAUGAGCAUUAACCUACGUACAGAAAGGAGCGAAGUGGAGCUGUCCAUGGGCCGUGCACACAGUUUCAUAAGCAGGCUUGCAACACUUUUGAAAAAUAUGUUCCUGAAUACAUCUGCC
Rhipicephalus sanguineus (brown dog tick) is the source of this 308-nucleotide long non-coding RNA. RefSeq lists it as uncharacterized. Lineage: Eukaryota; Metazoa; Arthropoda; Arachnida; Ixodida; Ixodidae. The record is from RefSeq and is a predicted model, not a curated record. The transcript has 3 exons.